RNAcentral lists this ribosomal RNA (253 nucleotides) under uncultured bacterium. RNAcentral's name for it is "partial 16S ribosomal RNA". It matches the Rfam family "Bacterial small subunit ribosomal RNA", at positions 524 to 776 of the family's 1533-position model. The record is from RNAcentral.
UACGUAGGGUGCGAGCGUUGUCCGGAAUUAUUGGGCGUAAAGGGCUCGUAGGCGGUUUGUCGCGUCGGGAGUGAAAACCAUGGGCUUAACUCGUGGCUUGCUUCCGAUACGGGCAGACUAGAGGUAUGCAGGGGAGAACGGAAUUCCUGGUGCAGCGGUGAAAUGCGCAGAUAUCAGGAGGAACACCGGUGGCGAAGGCGGUUCUCUGGGCAUUACCUGACGCUGAGGAGCGAAAGUGUGGGGAGCGAACAGG